Molecule: small nucleolar RNA, 71 nt
Filed under: Leersia perrieri
Lineage: Eukaryota; Viridiplantae; Streptophyta; Magnoliopsida; Poales; Poaceae
Source: RNAcentral
AAAUUGCCUAUGAUGGUUAUAUAUACUUUGAGCAGCUCGCUAUGAAAUUCUCUUAAAAUCUGAGGCAUUUG